CUGUAUGUUCCACUUUGGCAUCAUCAAAUUCCCCCCUGAGAGAACUGUGUAUCAGUAUCAGCACCCUGGAAGAUGAAGGAGUGAAGCUGCUUUUUGAUGGGCUGAAGAGUUCACAUUGUAAACUGGAGAUACUCAGUCUUACAGACUGUAACCUCACAACAGACAGCAGUAAAUGUCUGUCCUCUGUUCUGACAUCAGCCAAGUCCUUCCUGAGAGAACUGCACCUCAGAAAUUGUGACUUUCAGGAUUCAGGAGUGGAGCAGCUCUCUGCUGCACUGAAGAGUUCACACUGUAAACUGGAGAUGCUCAGGCUGUAAUCUCACAA
Electrophorus electricus (electric eel) is the source of this 325-nucleotide non-coding RNA. The record is from RefSeq and is a predicted model, not a curated record. Lineage: Eukaryota; Metazoa; Chordata; Actinopteri; Gymnotiformes; Gymnotidae.